UUGAAAGGGAAACGAUUGAAGUCAGUCGUACCUGUGGGUAAUCAGCCUUUUGGGUGUGAUUUUGUGGAGUGUGAAGAGUUAAACGCCUUUAUGCCUGCAUAUUCGUGCACUUUGGGUGUAUUUACCCGUGUGGUAAGUUAACAUCAAUUUUGGUCGUCAUAGAAUGGCUGGAGGAAUGUAGCUUCGAUCUCGUAUUGAAGUGUUAUAGCCUUCGGUAGAUGUGAUAAUCGGGAUUGAGGAUUGCAACGGAUACCCUUCGGGGCUACCUGUCUGAUCUCUGAUCGUUGCUCUGGUGCCGAAAGCUUGCUUACGGUUAUCAAAGUCGAUGGUCAAUAGGUUAGAAUGGGUUAAAUUCGUUAAGGAUGUUGACGUA
This 373-nucleotide ribosomal RNA is filed under the name uncultured Glomeromycotina. RNAcentral's name for it is "LSU rRNA". Lineage: Eukaryota; Fungi; Glomeromycota. The record is from RNAcentral.